RNAcentral lists this small RNA (815 nucleotides) under Histoplasma ohiense. RNAcentral describes it as "hypothetical lncRNA". The record is from RNAcentral. Lineage: Eukaryota; Fungi; Ascomycota; Eurotiomycetes; Onygenales; Ajellomycetaceae.
GUUCAAGUCUUGGCAUUUUCGAAUUUCCCACUGCGGAUCGGCAUGCCGCUCUCGAGGAUUAUCAAAUGGCAUGGCUUUCCAUUGCCUCACUUAUGACCCCAGAUAUUUCCUUGGAUUAUCCAUAUCUUUUGAACAUUCAAGACUACAAUAACGCAUAAUGGCCAAUAGCCAGGCUCUAGGCACUGCUCCUCUGAAACUUGAACGACCGUAUCACAAGCUCUCACAUUAUGCAAUGGUAUAUCUGGAUGAGACUGGGAAAGUUCAAUAUGACUUCUCACCAUCAAUGCUGCCAUUUCGCCACCACUUAUUUCCCACGAAUAUGAAGGCUCAAUUUCAGCAAUGGGUCGCUCAAAAACAAGGCCUGAUGGAUGCAAACUCACAGAAAUGUCAACACUCUGAGACUGAUGAUGAUUUUGAUGAUGAUGCAAGGGACAAGAUAGGCAUAUCAAUUGGAGAUAAGGAAAGGAUCACAGCUUAUUAUAUAGAGGCCUUUGUCAGAUUUCAGCAACUUAACUGCAGUCGGAUUGCCAAGGCUUAUAUAAAGGCCAUCGAACCACGAAAGCAGUCCGCACAUCCCUACAAUGGAGGGAAGCUGAGAGAACCUGAUAAAACCAAACCAUCCUGGUGGCCAGUUGACGUGAUUCAUAAGGAGCCUGAUCAUUUGAAGAAGCCUGACCGGAUCAAGCUUCUUAUUCACAUACUCCGCAUCCGUGCUCUUCACAAGCUAAGGGAAGCCGGGAGGGAUGUCCAACAACGCCAGCUUACCCCAUGUGAGAAGUCAGCAGUGUUGAAUGAGAUAUACCGAGUUAGGGAAA